CCCUAGCCCUGAUGGGAACGGCAUCCUUUUUUGUUUUUCUGUGGCUCAAGUUGCUUGGAAUGACAAUCGUUCUGAAAAACAAAAAAGAUAUAGUGGACAGCAGGAUUAAGC
Molecule: small RNA, 111 nt
Organism: Epilithonimonas sp.
Lineage: Bacteria; Pseudomonadati; Bacteroidota; Flavobacteriia; Flavobacteriales; Weeksellaceae
Rfam family: Flavo-1 RNA
Source: Rfam